Mya arenaria is the source of this 978-nucleotide long non-coding RNA. RefSeq lists it as uncharacterized. The transcript has 3 exons. The record is from RefSeq and is a predicted model, not a curated record. NCBI's taxonomy places the organism in Eukaryota, Metazoa, Mollusca, Bivalvia, Myida, Myidae.
AGACCCACUCAUUGACCUCAUUCAUAUUUGGAUUACCUGCCCUUGUAAUUGGCUAUAUCAUAGAAUAUUAUUGCAAUUUUCGAUGUUUAAUACACUUGUUUGUGCAGUGUUUUCGAUAUUCCGCCCUAAAUAUACGUCUAUAAAGAAAGUUGGCCUAGCAGGGAUUCAAACUCAAAGCCCCUAAAUUGGCAACCCGCAUUGUUACCGACUGAGCUACUGGGACUCGACGUCUUUACAACAGUAUAUUUCCAUAAAUAUUUCCUACCGUGAACUAAUGCAACCCCUCGUGAUGCUGCAAUUGUGAAUUUCGGUUAUCAUUCUGCCCACAAGGGUAGCUGUGGUCGAGUUGGUAAGAUUAUUAUAUGGAGCUAUAAUCUGUUUCUUCCAUUCCCUAGCAUGCAUAGUUGGUUUACAGAAUCGACAGAUUGAGCCAUAAAAAAUCUAAUAAAUGGUCUAUAAUAGAGCAGUAUCGUUUAAAGUUUCAAAUACAUUGAUUUGUUUGUAAUUGGGUCAAUAUGGUUAAGGCUAUGCCGGACGCGUUUUUUCAUCUUUAAUGGUAUAUUUUUGUUUAAUUAAAAUUUAAUUUAAUCUAUGUGCGCUAUAUUUAGGUGUUUGUUCCAAAUUGAUAAAUGUGAAUUUAUUAAAUGUUGAUUUUGUAUGGAAACAGGUUAACAUUUGGUUGGAGCACCUCAACAAUGUCGCUGCAAACAGAGAAAGGGGCCAGGCAAAGGCUGCAGAGACACGGUCUCUGAAAAAGAAAGAGUUGAGGACAGAGACAACUCCUGGUGGUGCUGCCACAUCGACUGCGACUACCCAUAGAAGUUCCGCUAGGAGCCCAAACCAUAGCCAGGCUCAGAGUGCACCAGACAAUAUCAUGGUAGAUGUUUCGAGGUUUGGACGGAGGAGGGUACCAAAAAGAUUUGAUGAAUAUAUUAUGUAAAAACAAUAAAAAUAAAAAUAAAAAAUGAAGUUCACAAU